GAAGUUCGCCAGGCAGUCGCUGCGCACCUCGUCGUGCGUGGAGGAAAGUCCGGGCCCCGCAGAGCAGGAUGCCGGCUAACGGCCGGGCGCCGUGAGGCGACGGAAAGUGCAACAGAGAGCAGACCGCCGAUGGCCCGUGCAAACGGGAUCAGGUAAGGGUGAAAGGGUGUCGUGAACUGCGCAAGCAGGUCGCGAG
Molecule: RNase P RNA, 196 nt
Filed under: Thauera sp.
Lineage: Bacteria; Pseudomonadati; Pseudomonadota; Betaproteobacteria; Rhodocyclales; Zoogloeaceae
Description: partial RNase P RNA component class A
Rfam family: Bacterial RNase P class A
About the family: Ribonuclease P (RNase P) is a ubiquitous endoribonuclease, found in archaea, bacteria and eukarya as well as chloroplasts and mitochondria. Its best characterised activity is the generation of mature 5'-ends of tRNAs by cleaving the 5'-leader elements of precursor-tRNAs.
Source: RNAcentral